Molecule: transfer RNA, 73 nt
Organism: Ovis aries (sheep)
Lineage: Eukaryota; Metazoa; Chordata; Mammalia; Artiodactyla; Bovidae
Rfam family: tRNA
About the family: Transfer RNA (tRNA) molecules are approximately 80 nucleotides in length.
Source: Rfam
UCCUCGGUGGUCCAGUGGCUAAGACUCUGCACUCCCAAUGCAAGGGGCCUGGGUUCGAUCCCUGGUCAGGGAA